AGAGUAGAAUGCAGCCAAGGAUGACUUGCCGGCAUUUCCUCCUAGGUAGCUAGCAAGCCUUCUAUUUGGCAUGCCUGUCCGGCAGGUUGUCCUUGGCUAAAUUUUGUUCUCU
Molecule: non-coding RNA, 112 nt
Organism: Populus trichocarpa (black cottonwood)
Lineage: Eukaryota; Viridiplantae; Streptophyta; Magnoliopsida; Malpighiales; Salicaceae
Source: Rfam